This 256-nucleotide ribosomal RNA is filed under the name uncultured bacterium. Its description in RNAcentral is "partial 16S ribosomal RNA". It matches the Rfam family "Bacterial small subunit ribosomal RNA", at positions 524 to 776 of the family's 1533-position model. The record is from RNAcentral.
UACGUAGGGUGCAAGCGUUGUCCGGAAUUAUUGGGCGUAAAGAGCUCGUAGGCGGUUUGUUGCGUCGGCUGUGAAAUCCCGAGGCUCAACCUCGGGUCUGCAGUCGAUACGAGCAAACUAGAGUGUUGCAGGGGGAGACUGGAAUUCCUGGUGUAGCGGUGAAAUGCGCAGAUAUCAGGAGGAACACCGGUGGCGAAGGCGGGGUCUCUGGGCAGCAACUGACGCUGGAGGAGCGAAAGCGUGGGGAGCGAACAGG